RNAcentral lists this ribosomal RNA (896 nucleotides) under uncultured archaeon. RNAcentral's name for it is "bacterial SSU rRNA". It matches the Rfam family "Archaeal small subunit ribosomal RNA", at positions 21 to 903 of the family's 1478-position model. The record is from RNAcentral.
CCCGACUGCUAUUUGGGUGAGGAUAAGCCAUGCGAGUUGAAUGGGAUACCCAGAGUUCCCAUGGCAAACUGCUCAGUAACACAUGAUCAACUUACCCUAUAGAGAAAAAUAACCUCGGGAAACUGAGGAUAAUGUUUCGUAGUUGAAUUGGCUUGGAAAAGUUUUUCGACGAAAAGGGUAAAAAGAAUGGUUUUUAUCUGCUAUAGGAUAGGAUCGUGUUCGAUUAUGGUUGUUGGUGAGGUAAUGGCUCACCAAGCCGAUAAUCGAUAGGGGCCGUGAGAGCGGGAGCCCCGAGAUGGGUACUGAGACAACGACCCAGGCCUUACGAGGCGCAGCAGGCGCGGAACCUCCGCAAUACACGAAAGUGUGACGGGGUUACCCAAAGUGUUCAAUUUUGAACUGUGGUAGGUGAGUAAUGUUCCCUACUAGAAAGGAGAGGGCAAGGCUGGUGCCAGCCGCCGCGGUAAAACCAGCUCUUCAAGUGGUCGGGAUAAUUAUUGGGCUUAAAGUGUCCGUAGCCGGUUUAGUAAGUUCCUGGUAAAAUCGGGUAGCUUAACUAUCUAUAUGCUAGGAAUACUACUAUACUAGAGGGCGGGAGAGGUCUGAGGUACUACAGGGGUAGGGGUGAAAUCUUAUAAUCCUUGUUGGACCACCAGUGGCGAAGGCGUCAGACUGGAACGCGCCUGACGGUGAGGGACGAAAGCCAGGGGAGCGAACCGGAUUAGAUACCCGGGUAGUCCUGGCCGUAAACGAUGCAUACUAGGUGAUGGCACGGCCAUGAGCCGUGUCAGUGCCGUAGGGAAACCGUUAAGUGUGCCGCCUGGGAAGUACGGUCGCAAGGCUAAAACUUAAAGGAAUUGGCGGGGGAGCACCACAAGGGGUGAAGCCUGCGGUUC